UGGCCGGCCAUAGACCACACAUGAUACGGAGGGUGUUCCGUGAGGUAUUGCAGUCUGCAGCUUCACUCUGUUAGAGAUAGGUAUUGCGGCAGAGGGCAGCAAUGCAAGGAGUAGCAGGUCAACACAGGGUACACUUAAGAGCUCAGUUGAACUUACCGGCGUAAGGCCAGUUUAGAUUCACCAUUUGAUCGAGAAGGGUUCAGCUGCAGGUCGAAGACUCUGCCUCUAAAAAUCUGUAGAAAGAGAAGGAGAAGAGCACCUGUGCAGUUUUUCCAAUUCGAAAAAGAAAAGGAGCGGAAAACGUUUUCCGACCAGGAACAAUGGCACAACAGAAUCAGCCACAUUUCUCCAUAAAGGCAGAGAAUAUAAAACCAACUUUGAUUACAAAAUGAAUCCAUGUGCCCUCUUUGUAAAAAACAAAGAGAUUACAGCAUCCUGUUGCCUCAUUUUUAUAGCCAUGAAGCCCACUAUGUAAAGUAUGCAGGUUUCUAAGUGACCAUUUUGUGGUUUCUCUGUAUUUCGUCCUCGAGGCCCCCUUCAGUUUUAACGAGAUUUAGCGUCUAUUGAGCCAUUGAUGAAAAGACAGAAGAUGAGUAAAGACUUGCACUACGUCUGAAGUGAAAUAAUGUCUUGCUAGUCUAUUCCAUAGAACUGCAUUCAUGUAGGUUUUAAAUCUUUUCUUUUUGAAGAAAUGUCAGCCUCCCUUCUCCAACAUCAAGCACAGGUGAUG
Long non-coding RNA from Polypterus senegalus (gray bichir), 730 nucleotides. RefSeq lists it as uncharacterized. NCBI's taxonomy places the organism in Eukaryota, Metazoa, Chordata, Cladistia, Polypteriformes, Polypteridae. The transcript is spliced from 4 exons. The record is from RefSeq and is a predicted model, not a curated record.